Long non-coding RNA from Etheostoma spectabile (orangethroat darter), 342 nucleotides. RefSeq lists it as uncharacterized. Lineage: Eukaryota; Metazoa; Chordata; Actinopteri; Perciformes; Percidae. The record is from RefSeq and is a predicted model, not a curated record. The transcript has 2 exons.
CUUGCAAUGAUCAUGUUGUGGUUCAUUCAGUAGAGUAUUGUUGGUAUGUCGUAUUAACUUUCUAAACCUGCCCCAAUGUGUAUCUAAAAUUUAAAAUAUGUCUUGCAAAUGUCUCGCCUUGUGUUGCUGCAGUCUGUUGUCUUCUGUCUUGUCGUCCAUACGGCUGAGAGAGAUCCCAGUGCUGGAGAGAGAGGACACUGCACUGGACAAGGUGCUGGAUCUUAAGGUUUGGUUGACCAGCAUGCACACGUCAGCCUUGGAUCAUGCAAGCAAGUCCACAGCGGGACUGACAGGUCAAGGCAGAGCAGAGCAUCGUCACUGCAGGGCUCCAGAGCAGAAACA